RNAcentral lists this ribosomal RNA (1415 nucleotides) under metagenome. Its description in RNAcentral is "bacterial SSU rRNA". It matches the Rfam family "Eukaryotic small subunit ribosomal RNA", at positions 558 to 1801 of the family's 1831-position model. The record is from RNAcentral.
AGUCUGGUGCCAGCAGCCGCGGUAAUUCCAGCUCCAAUAACGUAUGCUAAUGCUGUUGCUGUUAAAAAGCUCGUAGUUGAUUUCCACUCUGUGAAAGUUGUAUUGCCAUUAUGAGGGUUUCUAAUCCAAAAUGAUGGAGAACAAUGCAACAAUACUUCAUGGAGUACAAUUUAAGCGCGUGCAGGUGCUUUUUUUCGUUAUUGAAUUAAGCAACCUAUUGGAAAAACACUUCAAAAGCCUGCACGUGCGAAGUCGCUGUAACCAAACUAGAGCGUUCAAAGCAGGCUUAUGCUUGACUUGUUUGUGCAGUACGACAUCGCAUCGCUUACUGGACUUUGUUCUUGCUGUUCCACCAAGUCCGGUAAAUAAUUUGGUUAUUUUUCUGAGAGAUGUGCGCUUUCGGGCUGCACUCUCAAAGAAGGUAGCUGUACGGAAUCAAUGGGAUGGGUCGAGGUUGGCGGUAUUGCCUGGCGAGAGGUGAAAUUCUAUGACCCAGGCAAGACCACCGGAGGCGAAAGCGGCCAACCAGUCCGUAUCCGUCAAUCAAGAACGAAAGUGUGGGGAUCGAAGAUGAUCAGAUACCGUCGUAGUCCAUACUGUAAACUAUAUGGACCGGCGGUCAGAUGAACGCCCGUCUUUUGUCGCUUUUGGAAGCAAAACCCUUGACAUGCGAAAGCUUUGAGUCUUUGCAUUCAGGGGGGAGUACAUUCGCAAGGCUGAAACUUAAAGGAAUUGACGGAAUGACACCACAAGGCGUGGAGUAUGCGGCUUAAUUUGACCCAACACGGGGAAUCUUACCAAGUCAUGACAACGGUUGGAUUGACAGAUUAAGAGCUCUUUCUUGAUUCGUUGAAUGGUGGUGCAUGGCCGUUCCUGGUUCGUGGAGUGAUUUGUCUGGUUGAUUCCGCUAACGAACGAGAUCUCCACCAGUAAAUAGGUUAACAUUUCGUAUAUAUGUAGGCAGACCUACAACAAUGCUUUCGGGUUGCGUUGUAGAAUUUCUGUCGAGAAGUGUUAUACUUCUUACUGGGACUUGGCAUGUUUAUAAUGCCCGGAAGAGGGAGGCAAUAGCAGGUCUGUGAUGCUCCUAAAUGUCUUGGGCCGCACGCGCACUACAAUGGUAGUGACAGCAAGCUUGAUCGCUUGUCGAUCCCUGCCCCGAAGGGGGUGGGCAAUCUUUUGAAACGCUACCGUAACUGGAAUAGCUGAUUGCUACUAUUCGUCUUGAACGAGGAAUGCCUUGUAUGGGCGUCUCAUCAAGGCGCUCAGAAUACGUCCCUGUCAUUUGUACACACCGCCCGUCGUUGCUACCGAUUGGCUGUUAGAUGGAACUGGUUGGAUCUGUUCACUCUUUUGUGAAUGGCAAAGCCCAGUAACAUCUACCAGCUAGAGGAAGCAAAAGUCGUAACAAGGUU